Molecule: ribosomal RNA, 253 nt
Filed under: uncultured bacterium
Lineage: Bacteria
Description: partial 16S ribosomal RNA
Rfam family: Bacterial small subunit ribosomal RNA
Source: RNAcentral
UACGUAGGGGGCGAGCGUUGUCCGGAGUUACUGGGCGUAAAGCGCUUGUAGGCGGUCCACCAAGUUUGGGGUGACAGUUGCCGACUUAAUCGGCAAAGUGCCUCAAAGACUGGCGGACUUGAGGGCCACAGAGGGACAUGGAACUCCAGGUGUAGUGGUGAAAUGCGUAGAUAUCUGGAAGAACACCAAAGGCGAAGGCAGUGUCCUGGGUGGUCGCUGACGCUGAGACACGAAAGCCAGGGGAGCAAACGGG